GAGGACAUAGCUCAGUGGUAGAGUUUAUGCUUAGCAUGCACGAGGUUCCGGGUUCAAUCCCCAGUACCUCA
RNAcentral lists this transfer RNA (71 nucleotides) under Camelus ferus (Wild Bactrian camel). It matches the Rfam family "tRNA". Rfam says of the family: Transfer RNA (tRNA) molecules are approximately 80 nucleotides in length. Their secondary structure includes four short double-helical elements and three loops (D, anti-codon, and T loops). The record is from Rfam by way of RNAcentral. Lineage: Eukaryota; Metazoa; Chordata; Mammalia; Artiodactyla; Camelidae.